Molecule: transfer RNA, 67 nt
Filed under: human gut metagenome
Rfam family: tRNA
About the family: Transfer RNA (tRNA) molecules are approximately 80 nucleotides in length. Their secondary structure includes four short double-helical elements and three loops (D, anti-codon, and T loops).
Source: RNAcentral
CGGGUGUGGUUCAAUGGUAGAACUUGAGCCUUCCAAGCUCAUAACGCGGGUUCGAUUCCCGUCACCC